GACGAACGCUGGCGGCGUGCUUAACACAUGCAAGUCGAACGGAAAGGCCCUGCUUUUGUGGGGUGCUCGAGUGGCGAACGGGUGAGUAACACGUGAGUAACCUGCCCUUGAUUUUGGGAUACCUUCAGGAAACUGGGGUUAAUACCGGAUAGGAGCCCCGGCUGCAUGGGGGGGUUGGGAAAGUUUCGGCGGUUGGGGAUGGACUCGCGGCUUAUCAGCUUGUUGGUGGGGUAGUGGCUUACCAAGGCUUUGACGGGUAGCCGGCCUGAGAGGGUGACCGGCCACAUUGGGACUGAGAUACGGCCCAGACUCCUACGGGAGGCAGCAGUGGGGAAUAUUGCACAAUGGGCGGAAGCCUGAUGCAGCAACGCCGCGUGCGGGAUGACGGCCUUCGGGUUGUAAACCGCUUUCGCCUGUGACGAAGCGUGAGUGACGGUAAUGGGUAAAGAAGCACCGGCUAACUACGUG
Molecule: ribosomal RNA, 468 nt
Filed under: uncultured bacterium
Lineage: Bacteria
Description: partial 16S ribosomal RNA
Rfam family: Bacterial small subunit ribosomal RNA
Source: RNAcentral